RNAcentral lists this long non-coding RNA (10583 nucleotides) under Gossypium raimondii (Peruvian cotton). RNAcentral describes it as "long non-coding RNA (GRAI_LNC005003)". Lineage: Eukaryota; Viridiplantae; Streptophyta; Magnoliopsida; Malvales; Malvaceae. The record is from RNAcentral.
UUUUUUUUUUUUCUUUUCCUUUAUCACCAUCAUCUCACCCAAGAACAUUCACCAUUAUCAUCUUCAGCCCACUAAACCUACUAACAACCCAUGAACCAAGAACCCCAAACCACCAAAACACCAGACCCAUAAAGCUGGACAGUGGAGAGGAAAAGCCGGAUGAGGCUUUACAGCUCCAUUCGUAGAUUUCAAGGGUGAAAGUGACGCUUAAGAGUAAAGAAACAACAUACAAAAAAUGGGGGUUGAUCCGACGGUGGGGAAGGGAGAUCGGAGAAAGCUAGGCUGUAACUUUGGCUUUAGAUCUAGGAAAAUCAGUGAUGAUUUUGAAGAAACGAGUUUGGACGAGAAGAAUAGAUAUCGUCGGCCACCGGAGAUCACUACCGGCACGGUAACCCGACACCUAAACUAAAGUAUCCAGCAAUUAACAAAAGGAAUAUUGUAUGUAUUUAAAGCGUAUUAAAGGUAAUAGAAACAAAGUAUUUAUUAUAAAGGAAAUGAAAAUGUUCAAAUAUCGGUAAAUUAUAUUUAAUGCUUAUUAAAGGUAUGUACAAUAAUCUUAGGGUACAAUCAUAAAUUUUGUUCUUAAUGUUUAUAGUUUUUAUUUUUUAUUUAGUUAAAUUUAGUCAUUAAUUUUUUAAAAAAGUGCCAAAUCGAUUUUCUUUAAUAAAAAUAUUGGCUAAAACAUUAAUUCAUUAAUAAAUUUGUUUUAUAUCUCAUGUCAACAAGUAAUUUAAAAAUUAAAAAAAUAAAUCAAAAUUCAAAAAAAAAUUAUGAAAAGUUCAUAAAAGUCCAAAAAUAUAAUUUUAACAUUUUAAUCAAUAUUUUCAUUAACAAAACAUCAAUUCGAUUCUUUUGCGAAAUGUUAAUAGUCAAGUUUAUUUUUUUUUAAAUGUUAAUUAAUUAAAUUUAACUAAAAGAAUAAAUGUCAGAUUGAUAAAAAUUAAUAACUAAUUUUGACGCUAUGCCUAAACUUGACGUAUGUUGAAAUGCACUCUAUUUACCUUUAAAUAUACACAUAUACAUUAGUAUAUAAAUACUAAAAGAAAAGACGAUUGUAUAUAUUUAAAGUUGCAAUUGUUGUUAACGGUUUACAUUUUGAAAAAUAUUAUCUAUAAAACCCUAAACUCAGGUAUCCAGCAAUUAACAAAAGGAAAUUUUAUAGAAAAUAGGAUGUUAUCACAUGCUUUCUCUUAUGAUGGAAAUCAUAAAUACUUUAAUAUUAUGGCCUCAAUUUGUAAUUCUUCCAUACAAAAAUGGUCUGUUGAUAUGUCACUGUCAUGAGGAUAGAAUUUAAGUCUCGCAAAUCGUACAAUCUUAGGAAGAAACUUCACUACAAAUUUAUCUAAGUCAGUCUAACAUUCGAAAGCGAAAAUUUACAAAUGAAAUUCUCUAAGACACCGAGAUAAAACGGACACAAACUAAAAGUGAAGAAAAAACAAAAAAAACUAAAAAAACUUACAAGAAAAGAGUGCAUACAAAGUGUUUGAAUAAACGCUCUCAAGGUGUUUCUAUUAUUUUAAAGAAAUACAAAUGAGUAACUACAAAUGAUGGGAAUGUUUUUAUUUCUAGUUGAGCUCCUCAAAUCCAACAGCACAGUUUAAAUUACAUCGACUGUCGAAAUCAAAACCUAUCUACAAUAUAGGAGUCCUAAGAGAUUUAAACUCUAUAUAAUCUUAUCCAUUAAGAUUACAAAUACUCACCACGAUAACUCAAGUUUUACUGGAGUAUUUCACUGGGCCACCAAAACUUUAAUAGAUGACAUUAUUUAUAUGUUCCACGAAUCAGGUCAGUUAACCUCCAUGGAACGUUCUGUGUGCAUUCGUUAUUUGCUUUGAUUCACGACCUGUGACAUUACAACAUAAUUGGUCUUUUGCCUGUCAUCCUUAUAGUUUUACUAUUACUUUUGAACAGUCAAGUAGCCUAUUAUUAUACAUGGUAUUUUCAGAUCACGAGAAGAGGUGCUAGAAUUAAAAGGCAUAGUUUCUGAGCUUCGGGAAAAGAUAAAUGAUUUUAAAACAAAUCACAGAGAGAACUCACACAAAAACCCUCAAAAAUGAUGAAGCAAAUCGAGUAGAAUGUAAAGAGCAUGUUCGAAGAAAAAUUAGACAACUAACAAAAGAAAUACGACAAAUAUGAAUGCAUACUUCUAUGAGUUUUCCUACAUUUCAUUCAACAAAAUCACAACCUUUAAUAAUAUUAUUUUUAGUUAUAACUACAACUUCAUAAUAAAAAUUAAAAAUAAUAUUUAUCAAAAUUCUAAUCUUAGUUGUAUACUUAUCAAUUGCAGGACAAAGCUAUUUGCAUAUGGAUUGAUUCAAAUCUCAAACUUCCUUAUUAUUAUUAGGUGAUAUAAACCUUCAUUUUUCUUACCUUCAAUUUUUAUUACAUCUUGCUUGGUAUUGAUUUUAGUAACUACGGUUUAUAAAAAUUUUAGUUAUGUGUUUAUUAUGAUUUUACAAUUUCCAAGCUUUAAAUUUUAUGAGUUGGUUAGUUGUAAAAUUAUUUUUAUUAGAUUAUUUCUUAUAUAUUUCUUAGAUGUUUAUUUAAAUUUAAUUGCAACCAAAUAAAGAAAUAAUCAAUUUUUUAAAGAUUGUUGUUGACUAUUUUUAUUACCACCCAUAAUAUUUUAGAGCAAAAUAAAAUUAAACAGCCAUAAUAAUAUCAUUACAUAUACAAUUUUGUGAUCAAAUAUUUUGGUUGCUGAAAUUGACUUUACGCAAUGACUAAAUACCGUUGUGUUACAUAAGACGUGACCAAUUGUUAUGUCAUUGUAAGUUAAUAUUCCACAACUAAACAUCAUUACAUAAAAAAAAUUAACAACCAUAUAUAUUAUCAUUGUUGCUCAAAUUAUUUAACCACCACAUUUUAUAGUUGUUAAAAUAAAUUAUUAUUUUUUUAUAAUAACAUAAUAUAAUAUACAGUCAAUUAAAAUAUGGUGACAACUAAUAAUAUUAUUGAUACGUAACAAAAUUGCAGUAAUUAAAAUUUAUUUGGAUCGUUUCACUCAAAUCAAGGUCUAUGGGUUUGAUGGUUGAGUUUGGUUCAACUAUAGUAGUGUGUGUUGGUGCAAGAAUAAAACUGAAAGAUCAUGGAAAUUAUGGGUGAUGUUUCUUGGAUAUAGUCUUGUUUUUUAGCAUGUUAAACGUGAUACAAUUUUUGCGGCUGCUUCACUGGUUAAAGUUGGGGUUGAUAGGCUUUGCAUGUUUAGUGCUUGCUUGGUCCUACUUUACCUGUUUUUUAAAACUACAGGCUGACAGUUCUUGUAUUCAUCUAAGUUUAUCAAUUGUUUUCUUUAAUUAAAUUUAAAAAAUCAUAUAUAAAGAAAUUUAGAAUUUAUGAUUUUAGGGUUUAGAGUUUUAAUUUUUUUAAAUAUUAAAUUUAGAAUCAUAAUUAUUAUAAUAAUGGGAUGACUCACAUUUGUCUAUACAGUUACGGGCCUGAGCUAAGUUUCUUCUCUCUCUUUUUUUUUGUUGCGUUUUGAUUUUGAUCUGAUUAUGAGUUGAGUCACUCGGCCUGAUUGAAAAGUAGAAAGGGUUGGACAAAAAUAUAAGUCUAAAAAAUGGAUUUGGGUAAAAAAAAUAAAGCCCAUUUAAAAAAUAAAUCAAGCCUUCGAUAAGUUUUUUUGGCCUGAGCCUAUAAAACGGGGCUGAAAUUUUAUUAUAGUCCAGCCUAACCCACAAUCACCUCUUAAUUCUGGUUUAGGUUGAUUCUAGUUUAUAUUAUUGUUGUAAUUGAAACUUUAUUUCUUUUUUUAUUAUUGUCCUUAAUAAAAUUCUUUUAGUGUUGAAACAAAUGCUUUAAAAUGUCAAAUAUAGCCAUCACGAAGCGUGACGACGACAGACUGAUGAAUAUAUUAAUCCUCAUCCAUGAGAAUGAAGUAUAUUUCAUUACCAAUCAUUUACUUAUUCGGAGAGCACCUAGGACGAGAAAAUUAGUCACUGCUAUCAGUAAUGAACACACUGAUAUAUAUCAAUAACCAAGCGGUGGAAAAUUUGACAAUAUCUGACUAGCCAGUGGCAGAGUCGGGGGGCUAGCAGGGGCCCGAUCUCCCCUGAAAUGGAAAAAAAUUUCAUUUAUGCCCUUUAUAAUUUAUAAAAUUUUUAAUUAGUAAUAGUAAAAUUAAACUUUAUCCCUCCCAAAAUGAUAAAAAUUUGCUUUAAUCCUUUAAAAUUUAUAAAAACAUAAACUACUAAAAUGGUGAAAUCAUAUUUUUACUAUCUUAAAUGUAUAUAGUAUAAUUCCGACCCCUAAGACAAAUUUUAUUGACUCCACUAUAACUCGCUCUACUCCACCACAUUAUGGUUAGAUAAUAAGAAUAAUAUUUUGUCCAUUAAUUUGAAACAUGAUUGUUACUUAAUACGAACCCCCCCCCCCCCCUUUUUUUCAGAAAGUAACGGCUACAUAUACUAAAUAUUAUAUAUCGUAUUCAUUAUUAUCUAGAGUUUGUGUUCAGUUAGAUUGCUUGAAACCCUACCGACCACUUACCGUAAAUAAAAUAAACCCUUUUUCUUAAUAAAAUUGGGAUGAUCUUCUCCGUAAUAUACUCGUUACUUUCAUUUCUUUUUAUUUGCUGUUUCAAGUUUUCACCAUGAGAGAAACACCAUUUCCUGUUCUUUGUCUCUUUAAAUAUCCCACACCAAGCUUCCUUGUCUCCUUCCUUUAUACAUUUAUAUACACACACACACAGGUGUGUGUGUUUAUCCAAUUCCAAACCUCUAUCUCUCUCUUUCAUGCUCUGAAAAUGGAGUCAAAAGUUUUCAGACCAAGAUUAAACCUGAACCAUGUUACAUUUCAAGGCAACAACAACCACGCUCAAUCACAUUCAUUUGGGCAAGUCUUUUUGCAUAAAAAAACUGGGGUUUCUUCAUCAAGACGAUCUGUUGUUGCUGCAGAAGCAGCAGCAAUGGCAGAGGAGACUAUUGCUAAAACUGGUAAUUCAGCCUUAUCUCAUUUCUGGAGAGAGGUUCAAGGUUCAAACAACUGGGAAAAUCUAGUAGAACCAUUGCACCCUCUCCUCAGAAAAGAGAUUAUUCGAUAUGGAGAGUUCGUUGCAGCAUGUUACAAGGCCUUCGACCUCGAUCCCACUUCCAAAAGAUACUUGCAUUGCAAGUAUGGCAAAAGUAGGAUGUUAAAUGAAGUUGGCAUGGAGGAUUGUGGUUAUACAGUAACUAAAUAUAUCUACGCUACACCCGAUAUCAACAUCCCAAUGCAAAACGAGGCCUCUCGUGGUCAUUGGAUCGGAUAUGUAGCCGUGUCAUCGGAUGAAUCCUUCGUUAAAAGGCUCGGGAGACGAGAUUUGCUGAUAGCAUUUCGUGGAACGGUUACGAAUCAUGAAUGGGUUACUAAUUUAAUGAGCUCACUAACGCCUGCACGCCUCGACCCCAAUAAUCCAGAUCCCGAUGUGAAAGUGGAGUCUGGGUUUUUGAGCUUGUAUACAUCUGAUGAAACCAAGAGCAAAUUCGGGCUCGCAAGUUGUCGAGAGCAGCUUUUAUCUGAGGUUUCCAGGCUGUUAAACAAGCACAAAGUUGAGGAUUUGAGCAUUACAUUGGCUGGCCAUAGUAUGGGGAGUGCUUUGGCUCUUCUUCUUGCUUAUGAUAUAGCUGAGCUUGGUUUAAAUAAAACUGAUCAUGAAACAGUACCAAUCACUGCGUUUUCCUUUGGGGGACCAAGAGUGGGGAACCCAAGUUUCAAGCAAAGGUGUGAGGAAUUAGGGGUUAAAGUGAUGAGAAUAGUGAAUGUAAAUGACCCCAUUACAAAGCUUCCAGGGAUGUUUUUGAAUGAGAAUUUUAGGGUUUUGGGGGGGAGAUAUGAGUUGCCAUGGAUAAGUUGCUCUUGUUAUGCUCAUGUUGGGGUUGAGUUAGUGAUGGAUUUCUUCAAUGUUCAAAACCCUUCAUGUGUGCACGAUCUUGAAACCUAUAUCAGCUUACUCAAAUGCCCCACCAAAACAUUGCACACUCGAAAGGAGGGUUUUGAUAAUUUAUUGAAUAGGGCAAGGGAGCUAAUCUUCAGUGCACGAAGUUUGAAAUCAAUUUGCCUUUGAAAGAUGGUGCAUUCUACAUGCAGUGUAACCAUGGUUCAACUCCCAAGAACCUAAUCCUUUUUCUUCCACAUCUUUUUUUCACCAUCAUUUUGGUGAUUUUUUUUUUGGAAGGAAAAGGGAGUUCAUUGUGAGUCACAUAAAGUUUUCUAAAUUUUAUGUUUAGGAAAAUUUGUAAUCUCCAAGGAAAAAAACUUUUUCGGAAAUUUUCUUUUAUGUUUGAAAUAUAAAUUUAAAAUUUUCAAUCUGAAUUUGAAUUUUUUUUGUGAGAAUGCAAAUAACAUGUAUAAAUUAAUUAGUGAGAAAAUAUGUAUAAACUAAUUAAUACAAUCAAGACUUAGUGUUUAGGUUUCGCAUUAGAAAUUAGUAUUUAGGUUUUAGCUUUUCAUUGUUUAGUGUUUUUAAUUAAAUUUUAAGGUUUAAGUUUAAUGGUUUAUAAUUUAAUAUUUAAAAUUUAGACUUUUAAAAUAAAUGUUUAGGAUUUAGGGUUAUAAUUAAAAGAUUAAUAUUUAGAGUCUAGGAUUUAGGGUUUUAUAUUUUUUAGAGUGUAAGAUUUAAGAUUAUUUAUAGCGGCUUUCUAGUUAAUUGAGUUGUUUGCUUUUAAAAAAUAUUUGGUUAAGACCGGUGGAACUUCAACAUGAAAACAUAAUUAAGUGAACUUUGAUUCGUGUCUUGAUGGAUUUAUGGUGUUGUGAGAAUAUUUUAAAUUUACAAUCACAGACGAUAUAUAUCUAAACUAAUUAUGGCUAAAUCAAGUAUUAUAGAGUAUAAUUGAACUAUUAUUCAAAAAAAUUAUCCAGAGUUAAAUCAAAAUAAUUUUGGUGAAAAUUCACAUAUAAUAUGAUUUAAGUUGAAAUAAAUUUAAAAAUAAGUUACAUGUAUUUUACUUAAUGUGGGAGUUAACCAUUAAAAUCCCAUAGCUCAACCUUUGUGGACCGUGCGAAUUCCUUAGUGGUAAAGACGAAAACAUUGAAAUGUAAAUGAGGGGAUUAGGAUUACAAAUUAAAAGGAACGUGUUCAAAAAAACCUUGGGGCACAUUUAAAUGUGGAGUUGUUGUAACCUAAAAAAAAAAAAAAAAGGAGAGAAAGGAGGAAAAAGGUGUAUUCCAGUGGACCCUUAAAAUGGAAAAUUUUCUAUUUAAGUCCUUUAUAAUUUGUAAAAUUUUAAAUUAGUAAUGAUAUAGUUGCACUUUGGCCUUCUAAAAUAUAGACUAUUAAAAUGAUGAAAUUGUAUUUUUACUAUCGUAAAAAUAUACAAUUUAAUUCUACUCAAAAAAAAUUUUCUGAGUUUACCAUUGAUGUAGUCAUUAUUAAUCCGUUCAAGUUAUUUAAGAGCCGGUGGCAGGAUAAAAAAACCAUUUAAAAUAACGUUUUACGUUAAUGCUCCCUUUGAAAUUGAAAAGUUAUUGUUUAGGUGAUUGCUAUAUAUAUAUAUAUUGGUGUUGUUUUCAUGAUAAUCCUCACACUAGAUGAGGAUAAGUAUACCAUAUAUGAAACAAGUUUGAAUAUAAUUAAAAUUUGAUUGGCGAUGCGUCUAUCUGUAAUUAGUAUAAAAAUAAUGAUGGUGGUGAGAUUAGAUAUUAUAGCGUGAGAUAACAAGAAAACACAUCGUAUUAAAAAUAAACAUAUCCAUUUAAAGAGAACUUUAUUAAAAGUAAACAAUUUAAUUUUAAUUAUUUUCAAAUCGAGUUCAAAAUGUUCCAACUCUUUGUUUUGGAAAAUGGGAAAUUAAAAAGAAUUUGAUGAUUGAGAAGAAGAAAACCAUUUGUCUAAACGUUGAAUUACUGUUUCAAUGAUAAAUAAAUUUUAUUUAAGUUUAAUUAAAAAAUCAAUAUUACAUAUCAUUUUUUAGGGUAAACUAUACCCAUGGUCACUUUUGUUUACCUUAGGUUACAUUUCAGUCACUUAUGUUUGAAAUGUUACGUUUUAGUCACUUACGUUAUUGUGUUGUAACAUUUUAGUCACUGAGCCGUUAAUUGUCGUUAAUGGUGUAAUGGUAAGCUGACGUGGCACGUUAAAUUAUCAUUUAAAACAAAAAUUUUAGGUUAAAUUAUACAAUUGGUCCCCAUAAUUUUUCAUUUUGAGCAAUUUAAUUCUAUUAUGUUCUUUUAACUUUCAUUAUUUAUUUUCUUUAUUUUCCAUUCUCUUCUGCUUCUCCCUCUGUUUUCCUACCUUCUUUAUUUAUUUUAACAUACCAGGAAGUCGAAUUGGUAGUGAAGAAAGAAGCAUGGUAUUAUGGGUUUUGGUUAUAGGCAAAUGAUGAUAGUCGACUUCCUACUUCUUUUUUCACUGCCAAUUCGACUUCCUAAUAUGUUAAAAGAAAUGGGAAAUAUAUGAAAACAGAGGGAGAAACAAAAGAGAAUGGAAAAAAAGAGGAAAGUUUAAAGAACAUAAAAUAAAAAAAUUAAAUUACUUAAAACGAAAAAAAUAUGGGGAUCAAUUGUAUAAUUUAACCUAAAAUUUUGUUUGAAAUGAUGAUUUAACGUGCCACGUCAGCUUACCGUUACACCAUUAACGACGAUUAAUGGCUCAGUGACUAAAAUGUUACAACAUGACAACGUAAAUGACUAAAACGUAACAUUUCAAACAUAAGUGACUAAAACGUAACCUAAGAUAAACAAAAGUGACCAUGGGUGUAGUUUACCCAAAAAAAAUGAAUAGGUUUUUCUUUUCUUUCAAAUUAAACUGCACAUUUUGUUGACUGUUCGUAAGGGUAAGAAUUUUUAAUUGGAUUGUUUUCACGAUGGUCAUGCAUGCAUGUGUAUAACAUGCUUCUUGCAAUAAUGGCAAUGGUUAAUUAUGAUGUUUCGUACUCUCGCGAGUCGCGACGUGUGUAUUGGAUUUAGUAAAAUUACGAUAUUUAUGACAUAAAAAUUAGACUAGGCACACAAAAUUCAAGUGAAAGUGAGAUUGAAAAAUCGAAAUAAAAAUUUUUAUUUAUAAAAUUAUGAGUUACAAAUUUUAUAUAAAUCUUUUCUUUUCUUUUUUUCUCUUCAAUAGAGUUUUGCUUCAAAGAUGGUUGAAUUUAUUUUAGGUCAAUGUUGUUUGCUUCAUGACUUGUUGAAAUUUAAUUUUGAAAAUGAAUUUGGAGAGAGCAUAGAUUUAAGGUAGUAUUUGGUGCUUUCCCAUGCUAUGAUUUUAAUUACUUUACAAUAUUUGGUAUGCAUGAGAAUGUAUUAAUUAAAAAUUCGGAAAAGUUACAUUAUCACGUUUAAUUCACUAAGUACUUUUUUAGGAAAGUAAUGAUAAAUUAUGAAUACCCUUAUUAAAUAAAAUAUAAUAUUCGUAUAUUUUAUUUUUAUAAUAAACUUUAUUCUUAAUAAACAUUUGGAUUAAAUAUUUAAUGAUAAAUUUUUAAUUGAUAUUUAAAAAAAAUUAAUUUAUAAUGUUAAUUGAAAGCAAAUUUGUUUCAAAUUUAUCCUACAUAUAUUUUGUAAAUAUAAUAAUGCAUAUAUAAAGCUUGUUUUUGAAUAAAUUUUUAAAAAAAUCAUGUAUAUAUAUCACUUGCAAAGAAUUCUUAAAGUAAUAGAGAAAAUCAAGUAGUAGGAAAAAAGAAGUUAUAAUAGUUUUUUUUUUUGAUAGACUAAUACUCUAAACCAAUAGAAAAUAGGGUUAAUUUUGUCUUAAUAUUUUUUUAACAUUCCAAUUUACAUAGGAAUCACAUUGUCAUGCUCAUGAGACUAAAGGAAAUUUGAUUCCAAGGAAAGUAAAUAAAAUUGGAUAUAUUUAUUUAGACAUUAGAAUCACUUUCUAACUGAUUAAUUUCUCAGGAAAGUGACUACUUUCUGUAAUCACUGAAUUUUGUCCGGCUCGAUUUCGUUUCUUUUACAAAAAAAUUCAAAAAAAAUACAAAAAAUAAAAAAUUACAUUUAACCCCUAAACUUUUUGAAAUUUCAUUUUAACCCCUAAAUUUCAUAAAAUUACAUUUUGACCCAUAAACUUUUUGAAAUUACGUUUUGACCCCUAAACUUUCUCAGAAUUUUGUUUCGGCCCCAAAACUUUUGCUGCAUUUACAAAUUGGUCCUUAUGUCAGAAAAUCCCCAAUAAUCAGACGGAUUUCGUGCACCUGCCCCACGAUUUCCGGCCGCCGGCCUAGGGCAUGGCCUUCCCCACCUGCCACCUGCAAAAAAAGAAGCAAAACCAACUAUAAAAAGGAGUUUAAACUCCAAAAAAAAGGCCCCCACGAAUCAAAAAAAAAAGAAAAAGAGAGUUUCAAAAACAUUUUUUCAGCAGCAAAAAGAAAGAGGAAGAGGAAAGAAAGGAAGAGAGGGGAGGAGCGACGGCGGUGCAGCGGCGGCGUGAAGGAGGCCGAACGGAGAAGAAGAAGGAGAAAGAAGAAGAAAAAGAGAAAGAAGGAAGGAAGGAAGAAGAAGAAGGAAGAAGAAGAAGGAAGAAAAAGAAAAAAGAAAAAAAAUAUUUAACAGUCGGGUCAAACCGAACCGACUCUGACCCGAACACUGCGACCCGACCCGCCACCUGCAUACCCAGGCCAAGCCCAGCAGCCCAAAGAAAAAAAAACAAAAAAAAGGGCAAAAGCAAAAAAGAA